CCUACGGGUGGCAGCAGUGAGGAAUAUUGGUCAGUGGACGAGAGUCUGAACCAGCCAAGCAGCGUGAAGGAUGACUGCCCUAUGGGUUGUAAACUUCUUUUAUCUGGGAAUAAAACAGGGUAUGCAUACCCUCUUGUAUGUACCAUAUGAAUAAGGAUCGGCUAACUCCGUGCCAGCAGCCGCGGUAAUACGGAGGAUGCGAGCGUUAUCCGGAUUUAUUGGGGGUAAAGGGAGCGUCGGUGGUUUGGUAAGUCAGGUGUGAAAGUUCGCGGCUCAACCGUACAAUUGCAGUUGAAACUGGCAGUCUUGAGUACAGCAGAGGUGUGCGGAAUUCGUGGUGUAGCGGUGAAAUGCUUAGAUAUCACGAAGAACUCCGAUUGCGAAGGCAGCUCACUGGACUGCAACUGACACUGAUGCUCGAAAGUGUGGGUAUCAAACAGGAUUAGAUACCCGAGUAGUC
RNAcentral lists this ribosomal RNA (460 nucleotides) under uncultured bacterium. RNAcentral's name for it is "partial 16S ribosomal RNA". It matches the Rfam family "Bacterial small subunit ribosomal RNA", at positions 338 to 795 of the family's 1533-position model. The record is from RNAcentral.